This 66-nucleotide transfer RNA is filed under the name Kroppcarcinus siderastreicola. RNAcentral describes it as "tRNA-His". Lineage: Eukaryota; Metazoa; Arthropoda; Malacostraca; Decapoda; Cryptochiridae. The record is from RNAcentral.
ACUUAAAUAGUUUAAUUAAAACGUUAAUUUGUGGUGUUAAAGAUGUAAUAAUUAUUACUUUAAGUA